UACGUAGGGGGCGAGCGUUGUCCGGAAUUAUUGGGCGUAAAGAGCGUGUAGGCGGUUCGGUAAGUCUGCCGUGAAAACCUGAGGCUCAACCUCGGGCGUGCGGUGGAUACUGCCGGGCUAGAGGACGGUAGAGGCGAGUGGAAUUCCCGGUGUAGCGGUGAAAUGCGUAGAUAUCAAGAGGAACACCUGAGGUGAAGACGGGUUGCUGGGCCAACACUGACGCUGAGGCGCGAAAGCCAGGGGAGCAAACGGG
This 253-nucleotide ribosomal RNA is filed under the name uncultured bacterium. Its description in RNAcentral is "partial 16S ribosomal RNA". It matches the Rfam family "Bacterial small subunit ribosomal RNA", at positions 524 to 776 of the family's 1533-position model. The record is from RNAcentral.